RNAcentral lists this long non-coding RNA (1619 nucleotides) under Anas zonorhyncha (Eastern spot-billed duck). Its description in RNAcentral is "lncRNA (ENSAZOG00000007695.1)". Lineage: Eukaryota; Metazoa; Chordata; Aves; Anseriformes; Anatidae. The record is from RNAcentral.
AGUAUUUAAGGGCAGGCUUGGGAUGUGCUCAGCUUUCUCCGUGUGGGGCACGACGAGGUGAGCACCAGGCACCCGACCCAGCGUGGGACCUGGCCCCAAGGUGCUCCUGCUGUGCUGGGGACCGCGGCUUUUCCUCGGGAAAAUCCCCGACGAGGCUGGAGGCCGGGCAGCGCGGGGGGCUCCAGGCCAGAAAAAGCUAUUUGAAUGCUCCCACAGCUUUCCUCUUCACCUCUUGUACUGUUGCAUCCUCUGACAUCAUACUGUGCUUCCAAGGAGAAGUUUAUGGUGUCACGAAAAGGGCCUCAGAAGUUCAAGACGCUGUGACACGGAGAGAAAGUGUCUGUAUGUUUUCAAACAUUAUGGAAAUUGUAAGCGUGCUUUCCAAAACUGUCAGAAAUAUAUACUUUGAAAAGAUGAAUGCCUGUGUGGGAUUAACUCCUCAUGUUACACAUGUACUCUGGAGUGUGUUGUUUUCUCCCGCUGGUCUCCGGAGCCCAGUAUCUCAAAUGGAAUCUGACACACCACACCAGAUGCUAAAUGAGGCCUUUCCAAAUUGAGGUGUGUGUUUUCUGUGCUGAAUGUAAUCUUUCCAGACCUAGUUUGUGUAAGUCUGAUGGGAGUUGUCCUGCUGUUUUGGAACAAUUCACCUGGCUCAGCCACAGCCCAUCUCGGUGUGUGUUGGUGUUAACAAAUGCUUGCGGAUGCUUCCCUCCUCCCCCUGCCUCUGAACUACCCUGGUGCAGUUGGUGGAGCUAGCUGGUGUGCAUAUGGAGCAUAUUUCUAGGAAAUGUUAUGCAAGCUAGUUCCAAAAAAGAGGCAAGCAUAGGAAAAUGAUGCUAAUGUUAUCCCUAAAGUAAAUAAAACCCAAUUCAUAUGCUGUUCCUCUUCUUAAAAAAAAAAAAAAAAGGCAGGGGGAGGCAAGUAUAGCAGCUGUUUGUGCUGUAACAAACUGGUACGAUGUUUUCAGAGCUAACACUAAACAGCUGAUUUAUUGCAGAUCCAAAGACCCUUCUUAGUAGGAUUUUGAAAGGUAUGGCUUACCUGGAUGUGAAGCAAGAAAUGCUCCACUAAUGUCACUCUGACUCCAAGUUACAAAUAGCAGGGCAGAAUGAGCACAGCUGGCUAUGGCAGACAUCUGGCUUGGAGGGGGGGUGUCCUGUGCCUUGUCUGGAGGAAGGAGGGCACUGAGGUUGCCUAGACUUGCUUAGUUUGAAGUGCUGAGGUGGUAGAUGGCACAGUGUGCUCAAGCCCCCUGUUUGUGUUUGAUGCAGAUGUUUUGAGAAGCAAGUGCCCUCUAACUCCCCUGCUUAGGUUGCCCAGAGUUUCUGGGCUGAGAAAGGAGGGGGAAGGAUGAAUGUGACUUUCACUGAUUUUAGGCUAAUGGUAAGGGCUUUCUUCAAGCUAAGCAGACUUGUACUCCAGUCUCUACCCCCAAUAACUCUUAAAUGUUUGCUAACCUUUGGGUACAAUGCAGCGACUGCUGUAUGUGGUGUGACACUGACUGUUGCUCUCUCUGUUACGCUGUCUUCUAGAUCAAGUGCUGUUAACACAUCAUCUUUUAGAGCAUGACUUUCACAUGGCAGUGACAGGUAAUAUAUACUUGUUUCCUUGCAAAAAAA